Molecule: non-coding RNA, 193 nt
Organism: Taeniopygia guttata (zebra finch)
Lineage: Eukaryota; Metazoa; Chordata; Aves; Passeriformes; Estrildidae
Source: Rfam
GCAGCAGGAGCACUGAUGCCCGUCGUGCUGAGUGUCCAUCCCUGGCAGUGCUGUGGCAGUAAAAUCAAGUUAACCCAGAGCAGAGGGCAGGGGGAUGGGCCUGGCACCCUCCUUCCCAGCCCCUGUGGAAGGAAAUGUUGGUGUUUCUGCUUCUGACCAACAUUUUCCAUCUCAAGCUCCACAAGAAGCUGAA